GUCUAUUUCGUGCUUAUCAAGAUUCAUGUUUUGGAUACAGUACUUCAUCCACAAAUAAAAGGAACGCUGAUAAAUCUGGUUUUAUGGUUCCGAGUCACUAGAGAGGGUCUGGAUUUAUUGGGACUACUAAUAACUUGGAAAGGAUUGGUGGGAAUGGAACGGUGAGGCUGAAUCAAAGGAUUUAAUUUGUUGGGGGCUUGGAGCUUGGUAACUGAUUCUUCAAUUUAAGUUUGGGUAUAGUGAGUAGACUUCAACUAAAAUGCUUUUGCGAAAAGAAUUUGGGAUUGAUUCGCAUAUUUAAUAAUGAUAUGUAAACAUUGGAAGUUCGGGACUUAGUAGUGAGAUUCCUUCAUCAUUUAAUAAUUUUGUGAACUUAGAAGAAUUUUGGGCACUUGUUUAUUGCCCUUGAGUUAAGGUUUUUUUUUCUAAAUUAAGCAAAAAUAAGUCACUUAACAAGAGAACAUAAAUGUGUCUGUAAAAACUUAAGUGCUGAUUUGUUAAUUUGUGAUAUAUGUUCUUAGAGCAAAUCCUACACUAUGAGAUGCUCUCUAAUGAUGUUACUUGUUCAGUGUCUAGGUUAUCUACUUAUCUCAUUUAAAUAUAGGACUGAGCUAUAGGUUUUAGAUCGUUGGAUACAUAAAAGAGACUUUUCUGCUUUAUCGAAAAACUAUUUUGUAAACGC
This 682-nucleotide small RNA is filed under the name Arabidopsis thaliana (thale cress). RNAcentral's name for it is "putative long intergenic non-coding RNA". Lineage: Eukaryota; Viridiplantae; Streptophyta; Magnoliopsida; Brassicales; Brassicaceae. The record is from RNAcentral.